Molecule: long non-coding RNA, 892 nt
Filed under: Otus sunia (Oriental scops-owl)
Lineage: Eukaryota; Metazoa; Chordata; Aves; Strigiformes; Strigidae
Description: lncRNA (ENSOSUG00000009879.1)
Source: RNAcentral
GAGCAAAUUUCAUCCUCCACUACCUGUGGCUUCUUCGUGCCUACUUCUACAAAGAGUUGUAGCAGAGAAGUCAUUCUGAGUGACUGAUGUCAACUCUUAAUUCUCCUUGUCUAAUUCGAAAGUGUUAACUUACAAAUUACUUUUUUUUUCCCCCACUGUGGCUGUUGCUUUGUGAAGGUUUGUUUUUAUUUAAGGAGCACUGUAGUGUCUGGUAGUGUAAAUGAGGAAAAUCCUGUAAAUACAAUGAAACAGUAAUUAUAAAAUAGAGCAUGGACCUUGUUUUUUCCCAAAAGAACAAAAUCUCAUCUCAUACUUUCUUCUUUUCUCUGGACUAUUAUUAUUUAUUUUAGGAAAAACAGAAAACAAAUGGAUUGCAGAAUGGAAGUGCCUUGGCUGAUGAUACUAUUAAUCUUGAAGAUAAAAAUCACCAAGAGAAUCAAGACUCUUCUGAAACACUUCCAGAAAUGGAGUUGUUUCAAGGAGUGAUAGAGGAGAACAUCAUGACCUACACUAGCACUGGCUGUCUGGAUGCUGUGUUUCAUCAGUUAUGACUGACCAUCUUAAAUUCUGCAUGAAGGAAAAGAAACUUCUCACUUUGAUUCCACCAUGGGAGGACUUCAGUUGGCUGCCAAGGAUUUUAAAUGUGAUGAAUAACCUGGAAGAAAGUAACCACUGUAGAUUUUUGGUGUGAAUCUUUGGCCAUCUUCCCCCCCCCCCCCCCCNNNNCCCCCCCCCCCCCCCAGCCCCCCAAUAUCAACCUCUCUGUCCCUGUAAUAAAAAUCAAGAUUGAGAUAACUUUGUUUUGUGUGGCAAAAGAUCACUUGGGAUUUAUACCUUCUCAGUACAUCCUUGAGUGUGGUACAAAGAGAUUGAGAGUGGAGACCAGUAAGCA